GUUAAGCGACUAAGCGUACACGGUGGAUGCCCUGGCAGUCAGAGGCGAUGAAGGGCGUGCUAAUCUGCGAUAAGCGCCGGUAAGGUGAUAUGAACCGUUAUAACCGGCGAUACCCGAAUGGGGAAACCCAGUGUGACUCGUCACACUAUCAUUAACUGAAUCCAUAGGUUAAUGAGGCGAACCGGGGGAACUGAAACAUCUAAGUACCCCGAGGAAAAGAAAUCAACCGAGAUUCCCCCAGUAGCGGCGAGCGAACGGGGAGGAGCCCAGAGCCUGAAUCAGCAUGUGUGUUAGUGGAAGCGUCUGGAAAGGCGCGCGAUACAGGGUGACAGCCCCGUACACAAAAGCGCAUGUGCUGUGAGCUCGAUGAGUAGGGCGGGACACGUGGUAUCCUGUCUGAAUAUGGGGGGACCAUCCUCCAAGGCUAAAUACUCCUGACUGACCGAUAGUGAACCAGUACCGUGAGGGAAAGGCGAAAAGAACCCCGGCGAGGGGAGUGAAAAAGAACCUGAAACCGUGUACGUACAAGCAGUGGGAGCCCCAC
This 544-nucleotide ribosomal RNA is filed under the name Salmonella enterica subsp. enterica serovar Bovismorbificans. RNAcentral's name for it is "partial 23S ribosomal RNA". It matches the Rfam family "Bacterial large subunit ribosomal RNA", at positions 1 to 585 of the family's 2925-position model. The record is from RNAcentral. Lineage: Bacteria; Pseudomonadati; Pseudomonadota; Gammaproteobacteria; Enterobacterales; Enterobacteriaceae.